This is a long non-coding RNA of Pteropus alecto (black flying fox), 3312 nucleotides long. RefSeq lists it as uncharacterized. NCBI's taxonomy places the organism in Eukaryota, Metazoa, Chordata, Mammalia, Chiroptera, Pteropodidae. The transcript is spliced from 3 exons. The record is from RefSeq and is a predicted model, not a curated record.
UAACCGGCGCCGCAGCCGGAGGCCGUUAGAGGGAGGAGCGAGCGGGCCCUCGCGGGAGACGCUGCGCACAACGGCCCGAAUGCUGGGGCCGGGGCAACGCCCGCAGAGGACGCUUGGGGGAUGCAGAGGUCCGCUGAGCUACAGGGAACGGAAAGUGUGGGACAGGCUACUGGCUUCAAGGAGCCAAGUGACGCGCGUGGUUGAACGGAAAGCCGAGCUCCCUCCGAGCUCUCGCUUCCUCCCAACGCAACUGCUCUGGGGACUUUGUGCGUUUCUCUGUCGCUCUGCCUGCUUUUCCCACACUUUCUUUGAGGGCUCUGAUGUGGUCCUGCCGCCCCUCAAGUCCCCCGCCUGCGUGCCCAACCGCGCAGAUUUAAUGAGUCCCGAAGUCUCCUGCCUACCACCUCCGCUGUGGGGCGUUAGCCCGGGAGUGGGGAGUCGGCUCAGCUUGCCACCAGGAAACGGCCAGACAAUGCAACCUACUACUGAUUAUUCCACAGUACUGCCACAUUCCAAGAAUGUCUUCCUGAGACUAUAUUCUUAUGACCUGAUGGAAAUUUAGAAAUUAAUCACAAAAGCAAUACAUUUGCAGCUGAUUCCAAAGGUUAAGUUGGAUACAGAAUAAGUUUUAGGAAAUAAGGCUUGAGAGUUGCAAUCCAACAUGGAAAAUAAGAUGAAUCAACUUCCCAGGCUGCAUGAGUAUUCACAUUUCUGAGUUGCAACAGGUUUGUUUCUUCUUUUGACCUCAAAAACUAUUUUGGAACUUUGAGGAAUCUUCACGGCCUCUUAAGUUUUGCUUAUAGUCCUCAAAGAGGGAUAGCAUCACAACCUAACAGAGAUGGCAUCAUCUGGUCUACAGUAUCAAUAAUCUUAUCACAGAUCCACUCCUGUGGUUUCGCAUUCAGACUCGUUGAGGGUUCCACUUCAUUGUCAACUUCAUUCACGUUCACAUUUAGCAUCACAGCUAAUCAUUUUUUAAUUGGUAGUCUGCAACUCUUUGCCUCAGUUUUAAGCAGAGUCAGAUUUUUUUUUGUUUGUUUGAAAAUUGUUAUAUCACCAUUAACAAAUGCUUUACUAGUUUAUCUAUUUGGCCAGCAAUUGCUUCUGAAUAGGCCAGCUUGGGAGGAAUUUUCUUGACAUUAGUUUUCAUUUGUACCUUGACUUUGGAGGUGAACUAAUGUCAUUUUUAAUUUCUUCAGGAGGCAUUUUGUCAAAGGAUUCCUUUUCAGUUCCUUCAUCUUCGUCAUCUGCUUCAUCUUCAUAAGUAUCAUUUCCUCAUAUUUCUGUAGCAUUCCUGAUAUUUUUGCAUCUAUUAUUUCUUAGCCUCUUCAUGAUAUCUUGAAUCCUAUUUUUUCUUUCGAGUCUUUCCAGCAGAUGCUCUCUCGAAGGAACACCUGAGCAGUGCAUCCCAUAGCCACCAUAAAACACCCCUUGCGCAACACUGAUCCAUUUCUCCACCCUUUUUCUGGGAACAGCUCCCCUACGAUUCCUCUAGACCUCUCUUUUCCAGUGAAAGCUUAGAAGAAGGAAGUUAUUGGGACAAACUAUGCCCUUAUCACUCAGUUGGUCUAAGGGCUGCAACUGUUACUUAUCUUCCUCCUCCUCCACUACCCAUUUCAUAUUCUACUGUUCUUUACCUGUCACCUCCAUAGGUCUUAGUGGUUUACCUGGGUGUGACUCAAAUCCUCAUUCCUGAUGAGAAUGCCUGUUUAUUGGUAAUUAUACACUUCUCAGGCUGGGAUUGCUGUACAAGUCUUUCCACGGUUCCAAUUAAGUAUUAAGAGACUUCCAAGUGGAUCAUCUAGGGUCCACAUAUUUUUUUUCCUGCUCAUUAUAUGAAAGCAGCCCUUCCUCUUCCUGUUGAUCUAGGUCAAUUACUCCUGCCAAGGCGGAAAUCCUUCUUGCCUUCUGGUGCCUGGACACAGUCCAAAGUACCCAAACAGUAGCCAUAGCUUGUAGUUCAGUGGGACCCUUGUUGUUGUGUUCCCUGGCAAAAAUGCACCUCUUUGAGGACCAGGAUUUCUAAACCUGUACAGAGUCUCCUAAUGACUCAUUGAGAUGUUAAGUAAGACCACUUCUGCUCCUACCUCACAUAUUCUUUCUAUUAGAGGAAGUGCCAUUCAGAGGUCUCUGAUUUAGCAUAUAUACUGCAUCUUGAAAGAUGGCACUCCAUCCUUACAGAAUAUUGCCUGGCUAUUCUGUUGCACUUUUCGUACAUUGCCCAGGCUGGCAAUAUCUGAAUAGUCUUCUAGGUGAUGCAACCAGUGGAUGCCAUGGUCAUGAGCCCGGACCCACAUCAUCUUUACUGUGAAGUGGUUCCCCUAUUUGGAUGCUAUGUUGUGUUGGAUCCUCUGGCAGUGGAUCAAGCUUGAUCUUUUUUCUCUUCCCUCAGCUGGUCACAUGUGACCCCUAUUUGGCCAUACAGCCUGAGGGAGAGGUACUGGUACAAACAUAGUAGGUGAUAUGGGGGUCUGGGCUAUUAGCUCAUGCAGUUUACUCAUGCUUUCUGGUCCUACUGGGGUUUGAUUUUGAAUACAUCAUUUCUAUAUUAUGAUGAACUGCUGCUGGGCCCAUCAACUUUAUGACUGGGUGUGUCUAAUAGAACUCAGCUCAAAAUGGGCACUUAUGGACACAUGGUAACUUGGCACCCCAUGGUCAAGCUUUCUGCCUCUACUAGGGCCCAGUACCACGUCAGGGGCUGUUUCUUAAAAGGAGUAAACCCUCUGCUGCAGAUGGCACAGCCUUGCUCCAAAAUCCCGGAGGCCUAUAUUGUGCUCUCCUACUGGGACUUGCUGUAAAUUCCACACUGACUGCCGCAGAGCCCAUCGCUGUUCCAGACUGCACUCAGAACUGGCAACCUUCCAUGUUACCCAGGAUAUGAGCCAGAGUGGUGUCCAAAGGUGUGGAAUUUGUGCUUCUAGAACCCAAUGUGACUUACCAGGCAUCGUGCUUUAUGUAGUAGGAGAUGCAAGAUACAGAAGUUUGUCUUUUACUCUGGAGGGGAUGUCUCCACAUAUCACUGACUACGGGACCUCAAAAAACUUUACAGAAGUAGCAGAUCCCUGAACCUUUAUAGUGUUUAUCUCCCACCCUCUGGAUGCAUAUAUCUUGUCAAGGCCUCGAACAUAUAAGCCAUCUCUUGCUCGUCCUACCCAUCAGUAUAUUAUUGGUAUAACAUAUCAGUAUGAUGUUCUGCAGGAUGUCCACACAGUCUGGAUCUCUUCAGACUGUAUUGCAAUAGAGGGUAGAAGAGUUAACAUAGUCCUUGGAUAAAAUUGGAAAUAAAUAUUAUGUUUUCCACAUGAAUGCAAA